Molecule: long non-coding RNA, 811 nt
Organism: Cuculus canorus (common cuckoo)
Lineage: Eukaryota; Metazoa; Chordata; Aves; Cuculiformes; Cuculidae
Exons: 4
Source: RefSeq, a predicted model, not a curated record
AGAGGAACUGUCUUUAGAUCUGCCAAUAGAGGCAAAUCCAAAAGCCAUCAAUUCAAUGUAACCUGCAUCAGAUGUGCUAUAAUUGGAUCUGCAAAUCUCCAGCAAGUCCUGGAUGCACUGAGCUUACAGCCUGUACUGUCGCGGGCAGACAGACCUACGGAUCUGGACUCCACACUCACUUUGUACCAAGCCCCUUUUCCUGCUGUUAUGGUCACUCUUUCUCUGCUCCUCUGAGUCCUAAUGUCAGCGGUUCCAUUCUGGCCGCUUGAAUGAUGGGAAAGGAAACUCCUCUCCUCCUUCAUGAGCCAACAAUGGACAUGAGCCAGCAAUAUGCAUUUGCAGCCCAGAGGGCCAGCCGCAUCCUAGGCUGCAUCAAAUGAAGCGUGGCUAGCAGGUUCAGCAAGGUGAUUCUUCCCCUCUGCUCUGCUCUGGUAGGACCCCAGUUGAAGUACUGCAUAUCACUCUGGAGCUCUCAGCACAGGAAAGUCAUGGACCUGUUGGAGUGGGUUCAGAGGAGGGCCACAGAAAAAAAAUCAAAGGGAUAGGACACCUCUACUAUGAUGAAAGGCUGAGAGAGCUGGGGUUGUUCUGACUGGAGAAGACCCUGAGGAGACCUUACAGUGGCCUUUCAGUACUUGAAAGGGGCUUAUAAAAAAGAUGGACAAGGGCUUUUUAGUAGGCUGUGUUGUGAUAAGACACUGGGUAAUGGUUUUAAACUAAAAGAGAAUAGAUUCAGACUAGAUCUAAGGAAGAAAUUGCUUGCAAUGAGGGUGGAAAGGCACUGAAACAAGUUGUCCAGGAAAGUUGUGGA